UUUCUUGUGGUUCAGUCAGUAGAGCGUUGCCCUAACAACGCAAUGGUUGUGGGUUCAAACCCCAAGGAAAA
Danionella cerebrum is the source of this 71-nucleotide non-coding RNA. The record is from the annotation of a GenBank genome assembly. Lineage: Eukaryota; Metazoa; Chordata; Actinopteri; Cypriniformes; Danionidae.